Molecule: ribosomal RNA, 433 nt
Filed under: uncultured bacterium
Lineage: Bacteria
Description: partial 16S ribosomal RNA
Rfam family: Bacterial small subunit ribosomal RNA
Source: RNAcentral
AACGAACGCUGGCGGCAGGCCUAACACAUGCAAGUCGAGCGGACCUUUCGGGGUCAGCGGCGGACGGGUGAGUAACGCGUGGGAAUAUGCCCUUCUCUACGGAAUAGUCCUGGGAAACUGGGGGUAAUACCGUAUACGCCCUUUGGGGGAAAGAUUUAUCGGGGAAGGUUUAGCCCGCGUUGGAUUAGGUAGUUGGUGGGGUAAUGGCCUACCAAGCCGACGAUCCAUAGCUGGUUUGAGAGGAUGAUCAGCCACACUGGGACUGAGACACGGCCCAGACUCCUACGGGAGGCAGCAGUGGGGAAUCUUAGACAAUGGGGGCAACCCUGAUCUAGCCAUGCCGCGUGAGUGAUGAAGGCCUUAGGGUUGUAAAGCUCUUUCAGCUGGGAAGAUAAUGACGGUACCAGCAGAAGAAGCCCCGGCUAACUCCGUG